UAUUGUUCUUCACCGAGGACCCCCUAAUAAGUACAAGUCACUAGCUUGACUGAUUACGUCCCUGUUCCUUUGUACACACCGCCCGUCGCUACUACCGAUUGAAUGGCUUAUUUAAGCCUUCGGAUUGAGGCUCGGAAACUGUCAACAACUCUUGGUUUUGAAAGUUGGUCAAACUUGGUCAUUUAAGGAAGUAUAGUCGUAACAAGGUUCCUUAGUAACCUUCGGAUGAUAUUACCAUUUUUUAUCGGACUGAUUUUAUCUGGCCUGUGAAA
Molecule: ribosomal RNA, 272 nt
Filed under: uncultured Rhizophagus
Lineage: Eukaryota; Fungi; Glomeromycota; Glomeromycetes; Glomerales; Glomeraceae
Description: partial 18S ribosomal RNA
Rfam family: Eukaryotic small subunit ribosomal RNA (bases 1-235)
Source: RNAcentral